ACCGGCAGCUCAAGUGGUGGCCAUUUUUAUUGGGCCUAAAGCGUUCGUAGCCGGUUUGAUAAGUCUCUGGUGAAAUCCCGCAGCUUAACUGUGGGACUUGCUGGAGAUACUAUUAGACUUGAGGUCGGGAGAGGUUAGGGGUACUCCCAGGUUAGGGGUAAAAUCCAAUAACCCUGGGGGAACCACCUGGGCCAAGGGCGCCUACCGGAACCGAACCUGCCGUUGGGUACGAAAGCCAGGGGCGCGAACCG
This 251-nucleotide ribosomal RNA is filed under the name uncultured prokaryote. RNAcentral's name for it is "partial 16S rRNA". It matches the Rfam family "Archaeal small subunit ribosomal RNA", at positions 475 to 726 of the family's 1478-position model. The record is from RNAcentral.